This 398-nucleotide ribosomal RNA is filed under the name uncultured bacterium. RNAcentral describes it as "bacterial SSU rRNA". It matches the Rfam family "Bacterial small subunit ribosomal RNA", at positions 30 to 432 of the family's 1533-position model. The record is from RNAcentral.
AUUGAACGCUGGCGGAAUGCUUUACACAUGCAAGUCGAACGGUAGAGGGGGCAACCCCUUGAGAGUGGCGAACGGGUGAGUAAUAUAUCGGAACGUGCCCAGUCGUGGGGAUAACGUAGCGAAAGUUACGCUAAUACCGCAUACGAUCUAAGGAUGAAAGCGGGGGAUCGCAAGACCUCGCGCGAUUGGAGCGGCCGAUAUCAGAUUAGGUAGUUGGUGAGGUAAAGGCUCACCAAGCCAACGAUCUGUAGCUGGUCUGAGAGGACGACCAGCCACACUGGAACUGAGACACGGUCCAGACUCCUACGGGAGGCAGCAGUGGGGAAUUUUGGACAAUGGGCGCAAGCCUGAUCCAGCAAUGCCGCGUGCAGGAUGAAGGCCUUCGGGCGUGUAAACUA